CGGGACGUAGUUCAGAUGGCUAGAACGCACGCAUGGGGUGCGUGAGGUCGCAAGUUCGAGUCUUGUCGUCCCGA
Molecule: transfer RNA, 74 nt
Filed under: Candidatus Dojkabacteria bacterium
Lineage: Bacteria
Description: tRNA-Pro
Rfam family: tRNA
About the family: Transfer RNA (tRNA) molecules are approximately 80 nucleotides in length.
Source: RNAcentral